UGAUUUCCUGAAUAACAGGAAGCUGUCAAAUCUGCUACAUGACAUGAUUUAUGUGCUCCUGAAUUAAUGGAUUUAUUCAACAUUAAAACAUGUACAGGACCAGACAGCAGUGACUUGUGUGGUAGAUUUAGGUCUGUUUACUGCUCUGUCCCAUUCAGAAGCUCCACUCUCCAUCCUCAGUCUGCUCAGUAGUCUACUGGCAGUCUCUCCAUAUCUGCUAGUGUCCAUCGUGCUGGGGGUCAAAUGCUACAGAGCUCACACUCUGACUGAAACCAGAAGCCAGAAUGCAGUCUCAGAGGAGUGAGAGUCUAAAGGAAAAUACUGAAGAUGGAAGGACAUUGUUCUGUUCGCUUGAAGUCAUUUCACAUGUGAGAUUGAAUGUUUGAACUCUGCUAACUUACUGCCAGCUGAUAACCAGUUUAUAUGAAGCAUCGUGCAGCAAUGUUUACACUUUUAAGCACAUGUUACUAUUGUGUGUCAUUUAUUCCAAUGUUAGAAUAUUCUCAUUUAUUUUAAUGAUCUUUUACUUUGUUGGACUAGUUUACUUUUUUAUGUUCUAGUUAAAUAAAUAACAACCAAAUAAA
This is a non-coding RNA of Electrophorus electricus (electric eel), 584 nucleotides long. Lineage: Eukaryota; Metazoa; Chordata; Actinopteri; Gymnotiformes; Gymnotidae. The record is from RefSeq and is a predicted model, not a curated record.